CCUACGGGCGGCAGCAGUGAGGAAUAUUGGUCAAUGGCCGAGAGGCUGAACCAGCCAAGUCGCGUGAGGGAAGAAUGUCCUAUGGAUUGUAAACCUCUUUUGUCAGGGAGCAAAGUCACCCGCGUGUGGGUGUUGGAGAGUACCUGAAGAAAAAGCAUCGGCUAACUCCGUGCCAGCAGCCUCGGUAAUACGGAGGAUGCGAGCGUUAUCCGGUUUUAUUGGGUUUAAAGGGUGAGUAGGCGGGUUAUCAAGUCAGCGGUAAAAUCGUGGAGCUAAACUCCAUCCAGCCGUUGAUACUGAUGAUCUUGAGUGGGCGAGAAGUAUGCGGAAUGCGUGGUGUAGCGGUGAAAUGCAUAGAUAUCACGCAGAACUCCGAUUGCGAAGGCAGCUCACUGGACUGCAACUGACACUGAGGCUCGAAAGUGUGGGUAUCAAACAGGAUUAGAUACCCUAGUAGUC
Molecule: ribosomal RNA, 459 nt
Filed under: uncultured bacterium
Lineage: Bacteria
Description: partial 16S ribosomal RNA
Rfam family: Bacterial small subunit ribosomal RNA
Source: RNAcentral